CCUGGUGGCUCAGAUGGUAAAGCGCCUGUCUGCAAGGCAGGAGACUCAGGUUCGAUCCCUGGAUCAGGA
This 69-nucleotide transfer RNA is filed under the name Bos taurus (domestic cattle). It matches the Rfam family "tRNA". From Rfam's summary of the family: Transfer RNA (tRNA) molecules are approximately 80 nucleotides in length. Their secondary structure includes four short double-helical elements and three loops (D, anti-codon, and T loops). Further hydrogen bonds mediate the characteristic L-shaped molecular structure. tRNAs have two regions of fundamental functional importance: the anti-codon, which is responsible for specific mRNA codon recognition, and the 3' end, to which the tRNAs corresponding amino acid is attached (by aminoacyl-tRNA synthetases). tRNAs cope with the degeneracy of the genetic code in two manners: having more than one tRNA (with a specific anti-codon) for a particular amino acid; and 'wobble' base-pairing, i.e. permitting non-standard base-pairing at the 3rd anti-codon position. Lineage: Eukaryota; Metazoa; Chordata; Mammalia; Artiodactyla; Bovidae. The record is from Rfam by way of RNAcentral. RNAcentral also lists the same sequence under 1 other name.